CCAGGUGCCCGAUAUCCUAUACUGUCUAAAUAGAAAAUCCCACUGAUUCAAAGGAGAUACUAAAGAACUAUACAAAUUUGUACUGUCCUCUUGCUGCACAAAUACCAUAACUUGGAGUCUGGUCUAUGUUCACUUGACAUGAGGAGAAUUCUAUUUCCAGUUUAAUUCACCUGAAGAGAGACAUCUCAAUGUGCAUCUUCCAGAGGGAAGAAUGUUACAGAGCAAGGCUUAGGGCUUUAACCCAGGAAAACUAAUGUGAAAGAUAGCUGGAGGUAUGAUGGCCACUCUUCCAUCAUCAGGGAGCCAGCAACUUCAGUGUUUUGGCUCCACCACCUUGGAAUACGGCUUCCACUUUCAUUGCAUGUUUUAAGAUGACUGCAGAUAUGCCGGUCAUCAUGUUCGUGUUCUAAGCAACACAGAAGAAUGGAGAAGGACAAAAGGGGGGCAAUUACCAGCUCAGUCAGAGCCCCUUAAGAAACCUCCAUGGAAUUCCAUACAGCAAUCCUCUUCUUCUCUAAGUCCCUUCAUGAUAU
Molecule: long non-coding RNA, 533 nt
Organism: Prionailurus viverrinus (fishing cat)
Lineage: Eukaryota; Metazoa; Chordata; Mammalia; Carnivora; Felidae
Exons: 4
Source: RefSeq, a predicted model, not a curated record